GUGCCAGCAGCCGCGGUAAUACAGAGGUCCCAAGCGUUGUUCGGAUUCAUUGGGCGUAAAGGGUGCGUAGGCGGUGGGGUAAGUUGGAUGUGAAAUCUUGAGGCUUAACCUCAAAAUUGCAUUCAAUACUGCUCCGCUCGAGUUCUGUAGAGGAGAUUGGAAUUUACGGUGUAGCAGUGAAAUGCGUAGAUAUCGUAAGGAACGCCAGUGGCGAAAGCGAAUCUCUGGGCAGCAACUGACGCUGAGGCACGAAGGCCAGGGGAGCAAACGGGAUUAGAUACCCCGGUAGUCC
Molecule: ribosomal RNA, 292 nt
Filed under: uncultured bacterium
Lineage: Bacteria
Description: partial 16S ribosomal RNA
Rfam family: Bacterial small subunit ribosomal RNA
Source: RNAcentral